RNAcentral lists this unclassified non-coding RNA (623 nucleotides) under Hevea brasiliensis (rubber tree). Lineage: Eukaryota; Viridiplantae; Streptophyta; Magnoliopsida; Malpighiales; Euphorbiaceae. The record is from RNAcentral.
GACAGCGACACAGCCAACGCCGGUGGCUGUCGCCGCGGCAAUUCCAACGGCGAAACCUAUAAUAUCUCCGUCGAAUUCCGGUGAUGAACAAGUGAUUUCAACGAACUCGUCACCAUCAAGAGUAGCUCAUGUGAGCGGACCAACCACAGAGCUUUUGGACGAGAAUGAGAGAUUGAGGAAAGAGAACGUGCAGCUCUCAAAAGAAUUGACGGAAAUAAAGAAUCUUUGUAACAAUAUUUUUAGUAUGGUGUCGAAUUACGCGAGUACUCAAUCAGAAGUUGGUUUGCAUCCGUCGGAAGGUGGGCGUUUUCCGGCGGUCAAGCCGCUGGAUUUUCUUUCGGUAAAGCAAUUUGGCGGUGAAGAGGAAGACACGAGUGCAAGGCUUUUUGGUGUGGCGAUUGGUGCUAAGAGAGGGAGGGAAGGGGAAGGCAUAGCGGCGGAUAAUGAUACGCAGUUGCAGUUGCAGCUGCAGCAACCGGGAGCUAAUCCAGUGAAGGCUGAGCCGCUUGAUUGUCAGAAUAGCGCUAUGAACGGUGAUGAUGAAUCAAGACUAACAGUGGAUUGAACGUGCAAGGUAAUCGGCGGGUUAUGUAAUUGAUAGGAUUAGGAUUAGGAUUUUUUAG